GAUGAACGCUGGCGGCGUGCCUAACACAUGCAAGUCGAGCGAACAGACGAGGAGUUUGCUCCCCUGACGUUAGCGGCGGACGGGAGAGUAACACGUGGAUAACCUACCUAUAAGACUGGGAUAACUUCGGGAAACCGGAGCUAAUACCGGAUAAUAUAUUGAACCGCAUGGGUCAAUAGUGAAAGUCGGUUUUGCUGUGACUUAUAGAUGGAUCCGCGCCGCAUUAGCUAGUUGGUAAGGUAACGGCUUACCAAGGCGACGAUGCGUAACCGACCUCAGGGGGAGGUCGGCCACCCUGGAGCUGAGGCACGGUCCCCACUCCUGCGGGGGGCAGCAGUCCGGACUCCUACGCGAUGGACGAGAGCCUAACAGAGCACCACCGCGUGAGUGAUGAAGGACUUCGGAUCGUUGAGCGCUGUUGUUAGUGGGGAACAAAUGUGUAAUUAACUGUGCACAUAUUGACGGUACCUGGUCAAAAAGCCCCGGCUAACUACGUG
RNAcentral lists this ribosomal RNA (497 nucleotides) under uncultured bacterium. RNAcentral describes it as "partial 16S ribosomal RNA". It matches the Rfam family "Bacterial small subunit ribosomal RNA", at positions 28 to 507 of the family's 1533-position model. The record is from RNAcentral.